This 245-nucleotide ribosomal RNA is filed under the name uncultured bacterium. RNAcentral describes it as "partial 16S ribosomal RNA". It matches the Rfam family "Bacterial small subunit ribosomal RNA", at positions 524 to 770 of the family's 1533-position model. The record is from RNAcentral.
UACGUAGGGACCGAGCGUUGUCCGGAAUCAUUGGGCGUAAAGAGCGUGUAGGCGGCUUGUUAAGUCUUGCGUGAAAUCUCGGGGCUCAACCCCGAGCGGUCGUGAGAAACUGGCAGGCUAGAGUGCGGGAGAGGAGAGUGGAAUUCCUGGUGUAGCGGUGAAAUGCGCAGAUAUCAGGAAGAACACCCGUGGCGAAGGCGGCUCUCUGGAACGCAACUGACGCUGAGACGCGAAGCGUGGGAGCA